Molecule: ribosomal RNA, 273 nt
Filed under: uncultured Staphylococcus sp.
Lineage: Bacteria; Bacillati; Bacillota; Bacilli; Caryophanales; Staphylococcaceae
Description: partial 16S ribosomal RNA
Rfam family: Bacterial small subunit ribosomal RNA
Source: RNAcentral
ACGUUAGCGGCGGACGGGUGAGUAACACGUGGGUAACCUACCUAUAAGACUGGGAUAACUUCGGGAAACCGGAGCUAAUACCGGAUAAUAUUUCGAACCGCAUGGUUCGAUAGUGAAAGAUGGUUUUGCUAUCACUUAUAGAUGGACCCGCGCCGUAUUAGCUAGUUGGUAAGGUAACGGCCUACCAAGGCGACGAUACGUAGCCGACCUGAGAGGGUGAUCGGCCACACUGGAACUGAGACACGGUCCAGACUCCUACGGGAGGCAGCAGCC